UACGUAGGUGGCAAGCGUUAUCCGGAAUUAUUGGGCGUAAAGCGCGCGCAGGCGGUCGUUCAAGUCGCGUGUGAAAGCCCCCGGCUCAACUGGGGAGGGUCACGCGAUACUGAUCGACUCGAAGGCAGGAGAGGGUAGUGGAAUUCCCAGUGUAGCGGUGAAAUGCGUAGAUAUUGGGAGGAACACCAGUGGCGAAGGCGGCUCACUGGACCGGAACUGACGCUGAGGCGCGAAAGCGUGGGGAGCAAACAGG
RNAcentral lists this ribosomal RNA (253 nucleotides) under uncultured bacterium. RNAcentral's name for it is "partial 16S ribosomal RNA". It matches the Rfam family "Bacterial small subunit ribosomal RNA", at positions 524 to 776 of the family's 1533-position model. The record is from RNAcentral.